AACGAACGCUGGCGGCAUGCCUAACACAUGCAAGUCGAACGAGACCUUCGGGUCUAGUGGCGCACUGGUGCGUAACGCGUGGGAACCUGCCCUUAGGUUCGGAAUAACUCCCCGAAAGGGGUGCUAAUACCGGAUAAUGUCUUCGGACCAAGGAUUUAUCGCCUUUGGAUGGGCCCGCGUUGGAUUAGCUAGUUGGUAGGGUAAAAGCCUACCAAGGCUACGAUCCAUAGCUGGUCUGAGAGGAUGAUCAGCCACACUGGGACUGAGACACGGCCCAGACUCCUACGGGAGGCAGCAGUGGGGAAUAUUGGACAAUGGGGGAAAGCAUGAAGCAGCAAUGCCGGGUGAGUGAUGAAGGCCUUAGGGUUGUAAAGCUCUUUUACACGGGAUGAUAAUGACAGUACCGGGAGAAUAAGCACCGGCUAACUCCGUG
Molecule: ribosomal RNA, 433 nt
Filed under: uncultured bacterium
Lineage: Bacteria
Description: partial 16S ribosomal RNA
Rfam family: Bacterial small subunit ribosomal RNA
Source: RNAcentral